Molecule: ribosomal RNA, 1152 nt
Filed under: Triticum aestivum (bread wheat)
Lineage: Eukaryota; Viridiplantae; Streptophyta; Magnoliopsida; Poales; Poaceae
Description: partial small subunit ribosomal RNA
Source: RNAcentral
AUGAUCGAAUUAUACAUUAUAGUUGAUCCCUGUUAUCUUAAUAGCUGGCUUCAGAUUGAUGCUAUACUAUGGAUUGAGGAACUCGCCUUUGUUCUACCUUCAACCUGCAAUGCAAACUACUAUGAUUUCCCGUGUGCACCUUUUGUUGAUGAUGGGUGUAGAAACACAAUAGAGCAUCUUUGCCUUGGUGGUUGUGCCUUCCAUCCGACAGCUGGAUUUGGUUACUUGAGAAGGCUGCAUCUAUUUUGUGUUUGUAUUACGGUGGAUGAAUUAGGAUGCCUUAUUUCCAAGUCUUCUGCUUUGGAGCACUUGACACUAAAGUAUUGCAAUAUGAUCACUUACCUGAAGAUACCUAGCCUGCUACAGCAUCUGAACUACCUGAUGGUGUCUGAAUGCACUAAACUGCAGUUGAUAGAGUGCAAAGCUCCAAAUCUCUCCACCUUUUAUUUCAAUGGUGGACAAGUUAAACUUCUGUUUGGAGAUUUAGUUCAAGUGAAGAGCAUGGGAAUGUAUUGUUUUGAUCGGUGUAACACCAUUUACAAUGCUCGUGCCAACCUGCCAUCCAUUGUGCCCAAUAUUGAAACUCUUAGCAUAUCUUCUGUUAGUGAGGUCAUCAAUACACCAAUUGUGCCUGUCAAAUUCCUCCACCUCAAGUAUUUGUCUAUUUCUCUUGAAGCCGAACAUGGGGCUUUCUCCCCAGUCUACGAUUACUUCUCUCUGGUUUAUUUUCUGGAUGCUUGUCCUGUCUUGGAAACUUUCCACUUGGCUGUGUCGCAGACUCGCAUGAAGCAUGAUUCGGUUUUCGGAGACCCGUCACAUCUUAGGAAGAGGCGAGAAUACUGCCAUGAGAACAUCAAGACUGUAAAGAUCUCUGGGUUUUGCUCUACAAAGAGCACGGUUGAGCUGACAUGUCAUAUUCUUGAGAAUGCAACAUCACUACAGUGCCUUACGUUGGACACGAUAGAUGAUGUUGAUGAUAUUGGUAAGCAUGUUCAUGAAACCGGCGAGUGUAACCCCAUAGGUAGGCAUAUGAUCAAAGAAGCCCGUGAGGCCCUCUUGGCAAUUGAAAGGUAUAUUAUGAAAAAAGGUCCCUCCACAGUAAAGUUAAAUGUUCUAGAGCCUUGCAGGCGAUGCCAUGCUUUUGCUGCUUAG